GAUGAACGCUGGCGGCGUGCCUAAUACAUGCAAGUCGAGCGAACAGAUGAGGAGCUUGCUCCUCUGACGUUAGCGGCGGACGGGUGAGUAACACGUGGAUAACCUACCUAUAAGACUGGGAUAACUUCGGGAAACCGGAGCUAAUACCGGAUAAUAUAUUGAACCGCAUGGUUCAAUAGUGAAAGACGGUUUUGCUGUCACUUAUAGAUGGAUCCGCGCCGCAUUAGCUAGUUGGUAAGGUAACGGCUUACCAAGGCAACGAUGCGUAGCCGACCUGAGAGGGUGAUCACCACACUGGAACUGAGACACGGUCCAGACUCCUACGGGAGGCAGCAGUAGGGAAUCUUCCGCAAUGGGCGAAAGCCUGACGGAGCAACGCCGCGUGAGUGAUGAAGGUCUUCGGAUCGUAAAACUCUGUUAUUAGGGAAGAACAAAUGUGUAAGUAACUAUGCACGUCUUGACGGUACCUAAUCAGAAAGCCACGGCUAACUACGUG
This 496-nucleotide ribosomal RNA is filed under the name uncultured bacterium. RNAcentral's name for it is "partial 16S ribosomal RNA". It matches the Rfam family "Bacterial small subunit ribosomal RNA", at positions 28 to 507 of the family's 1533-position model. The record is from RNAcentral.